This 68-nucleotide transfer RNA is filed under the name Marmota monax (woodchuck). RNAcentral describes it as "tRNA.Ala". Lineage: Eukaryota; Metazoa; Chordata; Mammalia; Rodentia; Sciuridae. The record is from RNAcentral.
GGUUUGUAGCUCAGUGGAAGAGCACUUGCCUAGCAUGUGUAAGGCACUGGGUUUGAUUCUCAGCACCA